UAAACAGUUUUGUAACACUGAAAAUCAGAGC
RNAcentral lists this non-coding RNA (31 nucleotides) under Rattus norvegicus (Norway rat). Lineage: Eukaryota; Metazoa; Chordata; Mammalia; Rodentia; Muridae. The record is from RNAcentral.